CAGGAGGAACAGGAAGACCAGAAACACCAGGAGAAGGAGAAGAAGAAAUAAUGAGUGAUUGUGUCUACAUUUACAGGAAGAGUUUGAUAUGGUAGAAAUGUUGCUUCUUUGGAGAAAUUGGUACUCAAAGAAUUACUCAUGUAGAGUUUCACUGUGCUGUCAUCUGAGAAAUCAAGUUCAUUACUGAACCCAUGCUUCAUCUCAGCUGCAUGAGAAGAUCACUACAGAUGCAGAUCACCACACUUAGCUAGUGAUCACAGGACCUACGAGUUUGGAAGGAGAAAAAGCUGCAGGAUUUAAAGUUACCAUGUUUGGAAAAAUGAUGAAGAGGAAGGACAGAGAGAUGCAAUGCCUGAGGAGUGUGCAGGCAAGAAUACCGACUUGAGAGACACUGCUGGAAUAAAUUUGGAGUUGAAUGAGUAAAGGAUGGUAGGCUUACACCUUUGGCAUUUACCACUAAUAUAUUUGGCAAGGAGACCACCCUGAAAGAGACUGCUGGAAUGAAUUUGGAAUUGAGUGAGAAAAUGAUGCUAGGCUUUCACCUUUGGCAUUAACCUCUAACAUAUUU
Mus caroli (Ryukyu mouse) is the source of this 568-nucleotide non-coding RNA. Lineage: Eukaryota; Metazoa; Chordata; Mammalia; Rodentia; Muridae. The record is from RefSeq and is a predicted model, not a curated record.